RNAcentral lists this ribosomal RNA (442 nucleotides) under uncultured bacterium. RNAcentral describes it as "partial 16S ribosomal RNA". It matches the Rfam family "Bacterial small subunit ribosomal RNA", at positions 338 to 795 of the family's 1533-position model. The record is from RNAcentral.
CCUACGGGGGGCAGCAGUGGGGAAUAUUGGGCAAUGGGCGCAAGCCUGACUCAGCAAUGCCGCGUGAAGGAAGAAGGCUUUCGGGUUGUAAACUUCUUUGACAGGGGAAGAGCAGAAGACGGUACCCUGAAAACAAGCCACGGCUAACUACGUGCCAGCAGCCGCGGUAAUACGUAGGGGGCGAGCGUUAUCCGGAUUCACUGGGUGUAAAGGGAGCGUAGACGGCCAAGCAAGCCAGGGGUGAAAGCCCGGGGCCCAACCCCGGGACUGCCCUUGGAACUGCAUGGCUGGAGUGCGGGAGGGGCAGGCGGAAUUCCUGGUGUAGCGGUGAAAUGCGUAGAUAUCAGGAGGAACACCGGCGGCGAAGGCGGCCUGCUGGACCGCGACUGACGUUGAGGCUCGAAAGCGUGGGGAGCGAACAGGAUUAGAUACCCUAGUAGUC